CCUGUGGGGAAGAUCAGAGCCACAGAGAGACACAAACACACACGCAGGCUUCUCCUGCAGUUUGGUGGGACAGUGUCAGCUACUCCUAAAUAAAAACCCGAGAACACAAAAGAACUUUCAGGCGGGUUGUGGAAUAAAACAGACACAAAAAGCUAAGGUUCUCAAUAAAUUGAAUAAGUAACAUUCCCGCAAAGUGUUUUCCUGUGCAGUAUUCACGUCCUCCUCAUGGCAAAUCUGCGUCUUACCUAUUACUGUCCUUUUUAACAAGAAAAGGGAGCACAAAGGAGUUCUCUUGUGGCGCAGCAGGGUAAGAAUCCAGUGUUGUCACUGCAGGGGCCUGGGUCACUGCUGCGGCACGGGUGCGAUCCCCGGCCUGGGAACUUCCACAUGCUGCGAGUGCCUCCAAAAAGACAGAAGGAAGGAAGGAGAGAGAUAGAAAGAAAGAGGAGCAUACAGAGCAAUUAAGCUCGUGUCUGAAUUUUAAUCCAUAUCCUCGCACUUCGGGGUCUGUGGCAAGCAGCUUAACCCCUCAGACCUUCGAUUACUCAAUCUGCAAAACAGGGAUAAACAUACCUAGCAUUCAAAUACUUUUUGAGCAUCUAUGACACGUCGGUGCAUAUUGGGGAUACAGCUGUGAGCAGGACAGGCAAAAUGCUGAUUCCAGGCAGUUUACAGGGAAUGUGGGAGACAGACAACCACCAAAUGAAUGCACACGUGUCAGAUGAGGCCAGGAGGUGCAAGAAAACAAGGGGGCGGGGGACACAGGCUGCACAUUUUGAGAAGCCAGUCGAGGAAGGCUUUAUGAGAAAGUGGCACCAGACAAGAGACUCGAAGGAGGUGAGGAGUGACCUGUGCGAGAUGGAGGCCCCUGGAGGGCUCUGCUUGUGCUGAGGAAGAGCAUGGCUGGACGACUGCCCACCCAGGGCAUCGCUGCAGGCCAGGAGACUGCUGGAGGUGCCAAGAGCUCUCCAGGAGGGACCUGGUGGCUUGCUCCCGGGCAGGGGCAGAUGGGGGGAAAAGUGGUCAGGUACUGAGUGCCCUUGGAAUUGAGAGCCAACAUGAUCCACCAGCAGACCGAACUGCAGUGUGGAAAAAAAAAAAAAAAACUACUUGGUCUCCGCGCCGAAGCAGGAAGGGAGGCAUCCUGAAGGGGCCUCGGGAAGAUGAGCCGUCCUGUAACGACCCUGCGGGCAGCUGCAUGCAUGAGCCGUGCCUCAAGGACAGAGCUGGGCUGGAGACGUGGGCUGUCGGCAGCACCUCCAGCUGCUGGGCAGGGAAGGGCCCAUGCAAUCCAAUGCUUAGAUCUUGGACAAUCAAAGGGGAACCAGUAAAAGAGACUAAAAAGGUGUGAAAGGAAGAAAACCACAAGAGGACGGCAUCAGGGAAGCAAGGGCACAGAGAGUUCCAGGAGGAAGGAGCCGCGCACUAGGUUUGGUCGUGUGCAGGUGAUGGGUGACUUGAGAGGAGAAUCUGGGUGGUGAGGUGGGGAGGGGCCCGGAUCUGAGCAGGUCCCAGAGCGGGAGGGAGUGCAUUGGAGACCGGAGGCCACCAGUCAGCAACGCUUCUCAAGGCGGGACGGAGUGUCUGCGCUGCAAUCCCCGUUCUGCCACCUAUCAGUCCUUCGACCUCAGGCAAGGGCCUUAAUCCGAGCCUCUGACUUCUCAUCUGAAAAACGGGGGUGACAAUCCCCAAAAGAACUGACAUAGGAGAAUAGUGCCUGGUCGAUGCUAAACACUACGUAAAUG
RNAcentral lists this long non-coding RNA (1745 nucleotides) under Sus scrofa (pig). RNAcentral's name for it is "lncRNA (ENSSSCG00025019124.1)". The record is from RNAcentral. Lineage: Eukaryota; Metazoa; Chordata; Mammalia; Artiodactyla; Suidae.